AGCGAACGCUGGCGGCAUGCUUAACACAUGCAAGUCGCGCGGGUGGUUUCGGCCAUCAGCGGCGGACGGGUGAGUAUCGCGUAGGAAUGUAUCCCGAGGUGGGGGACAACCCUGGGAAACUGGGGCUAAUACCGCAUGGGGCCUGUGGGUCAAAGCCUUAGGGCGCCUUGGGAGCAGCCUGCGUCCGAUUAGGUAGUUGGUGGGGUAAAGGCCUACCAAGCCUGCGAUCGGUAGCUGGUCUGAGAGGACGAUCAGCCACACUGGGACUGAGACACGGCCCAGACGCAUACGGGAGGAAGCAGUGGGGAAUAUUGGACAAUGGGCGCAAGCCUGAUGCAGCAAUGCCGCGUGGGUGAAGAAGGUCUUCGGAUUGUAAAGCCCUUUCGGCGGGGACGAUGAUGACGGUACCCGCAGAAGAAGCCCCGGCUAACUUCGUG
This 437-nucleotide ribosomal RNA is filed under the name uncultured bacterium. RNAcentral describes it as "partial 16S ribosomal RNA". It matches the Rfam family "Bacterial small subunit ribosomal RNA", at positions 30 to 507 of the family's 1533-position model. The record is from RNAcentral.